Molecule: long non-coding RNA, 522 nt
Filed under: Ananas comosus (pineapple)
Lineage: Eukaryota; Viridiplantae; Streptophyta; Magnoliopsida; Poales; Bromeliaceae
Description: long non-coding RNA (ACOM_LNC014180)
Source: RNAcentral
AAUUGAAUAAUUUUUGGGUUAAAGUUCAUCUGAAACUUGUAUCUAUAUUUAUACUUUAAGGCAACGUUUGGUUUGGGUAUAAGCAAGAAUUAGCUAUUAUAGGGAUAAGUACAAAUAUUGGAAUAAGAAAAAUAGCAUUUGGAUGAAAAUUGAGUUGUUUCAGGGGAUAAGAAAAAUAACGUUUGGAUAGAUAAUAAGAAAUAAGAAAAAUAGUGGAUAGUUAUAUAUAGAAAAUGGAGGUGUUGGUAGGGAUGAUUAUACCCGGUUAUUAUAAGUAACCGAGAACUACUAUUCUCGGAUAAAAAAUUAGCGUUUGGAUAUAAAGAGGGGGAUAAGGGGUUAUUCCACCUCUUAUCCCCAUGCCAAACGCUGCCUAAUAAAUUUGGAGUUGGCUUUAAAUGAAAGUUCGAUUCAGCCUAAAUUUAUUAAUACUUAGUAAAGUUAAUAAAAUUAGUUAGUUAGAAAGUUCUUAAAAAAAUAUCUAAAUAUCGAUAGAAAAUACUAACUUGUGUAUGCUAUAGU